RNAcentral lists this long non-coding RNA (845 nucleotides) under Homo sapiens (human). RNAcentral describes it as "FGGY divergent transcript". The record is from RNAcentral. Lineage: Eukaryota; Metazoa; Chordata; Mammalia; Primates; Hominidae.
GGCCUCUUUUCCAGGAUUCCAGGACAGGGUUCUUUCUAAUAGGUUACCCCAGUAUGAUCUGGAAUUUUAAAAAGAAGUAAAAGCAGUUGAAGACCACCCACUUGCUAUAAUUUGAAAGGCUUGUUCUCCCCUCCCUUCAUCUCUUUGAAUCCUGCUUCACAGACAUUGUUGUCUUUGGGACCAAUACAUUUCUUCUAUCUGCAUAUCUGGGUAGAAGCUCUCAUGGAAGAAAAAAGAAAAGCCCCAUAGGUGAAGGGGAGUGUGCCUGCCAAGUUCCUUGUAAUAACUUCACACGCAGAGUAUUUUCUGAAAUGGAUCUGCUAGAGUCAUCUCAUGGAAUCUUCUCAUUCUUCUGGAGUCUCCUCAUUUUACAGGAAAAACAUCCAGGCAAGUGGACAGCAUUUGCAACAGCCCAGCAAUAAGAAGGACCAUAUUCUACUUGGGAAAAGGUAAAGUCGUUUCAUAUGGACGGAGCCUGCCAGGAAACCUGUCAUUCAACCCUUUGCAAUAAAACAGCUCCUCAUGAAUGAAGCAAAAUAAAUCAGAAGUUGUGGGCUUUUAAACUCACUAAAUGAAAGCACAGCAUGCAUGCAGCCUCCCUCCAAAUUAAUCACCAGAUUAAAUGCAAGAUGUGCACACCAAAUCAAUAGCUUGUGACGGGGACCUCCUGCCUGUGCUUCAGGAAAAUUCCAUUUCCUUUCAGAUGUUGUCGCUUGAAAUGUCAGGAAGUUUCCAUUCAUCACCCGCCCUUGAAAAUGCCACCAUCACCAUACUUCAUGUUUCCUUGCUUUCUUUCUUCAGAGGAAUCCAAGCACCUUGCAGAGGGAGCCCACUCCUUGUCACAG